AGUUCAAGAGUACGUGAAACUGCUUAGAGGUUAAGCCCGAUGAACCUGAAUAUCCAUUAUGGAAAAUUCAACAUUAAUAUUAUAAUAUUUAUUUAUAAAUAUUAUAAAAAUAGUGUGCAAUUUUUCCAUAUAAGGACAUUGUAAUCUGUUAAUGUUAUAAAUAUUUAUCAUAAGAUUCAGUAUAUAAAAGUUUAUUCAAAUUAGUUAUUUUCCGAUUUCUAACAUAGAAUAAAUUUAAUUGAAUUUGAUAAAUCAUUGACAGAUUUAUUUAUAUAUAGUGCUUAAAUUCUUAAUUGAAUUUUACAAUAAUUUAUAAAUGUAUUUUCAUUUAUUUAUUUAUUGUAUGCACUUAUAUGAUUAACAAUGCUAUAGAUUCAGGAUACC
This 384-nucleotide ribosomal RNA is filed under the name Merodon geniculatus. RNAcentral's name for it is "eukaryotic LSU rRNA". The record is from RNAcentral. Lineage: Eukaryota; Metazoa; Arthropoda; Insecta; Diptera; Syrphidae.